RNAcentral lists this ribosomal RNA (253 nucleotides) under uncultured bacterium. Its description in RNAcentral is "partial 16S ribosomal RNA". It matches the Rfam family "Bacterial small subunit ribosomal RNA", at positions 524 to 776 of the family's 1533-position model. The record is from RNAcentral.
UACGGGGGGGGCAAGCGUUGUUCGGAAUUACUGGGCGUAAAGGGCGCGUAGGCGGUGCUCUAAGUUAGAUGUGAAAACUCUGGGCUCAACCCAGAGCCUGCAUCUAAAACUGGAGUGCUAGAGUUCUGGAGGGGGUAGCGGAAUUCCUGGUGUAGCGGUGAAAUGCGUAGAUAUCAGGAGGAACACCGGUGGCGAAGGCGCCACUCUGGGCCGAAACUGACGCUGAGGAGCGAAAGCGUGGGUAGCAAACAGG